UGUUUAAAGAAAUAAAAUAUAUAAGAAUAUUUGUGAUAAGGCACGUAUCUUUCAUACUUACUCAAGGAGGAAUAAGCGAAGAAAGAUAAUGAUUUGCAUCUUCUCAAAUUCCUGGAGGUUUCACACAUGGUGGAUUGAGCAGCUUGACAGUUCCUUAUGGUUACUGAAAUUAUUUGUCUUUAUCCUAAAUAGUUAUGAAGUAGUUAUAGUAUAUAAGACUACAUCCAGUAAUGUGUAGGCAAGCUAUAGUAUAUCUUUUAUUUGCAGAAAGAUUGUUGUUAUGGGAGACACGAGAUACUUGUCUCUCUUUGUAUUUUAUGUUGCUUGUAUCCAGUAUAAAACUUUGGUUUCUAUCAAUCUGUAUUCUAUA
Long non-coding RNA from Solanum stenotomum, 370 nucleotides. RefSeq lists it as uncharacterized. The transcript has 2 exons. The record is from RefSeq and is a predicted model, not a curated record. Lineage: Eukaryota; Viridiplantae; Streptophyta; Magnoliopsida; Solanales; Solanaceae.